CAGGGUGGUCGGAUGAUCGCGGGUGUCCUUCGGGGCGCUCGAGGAAAGUCCGCACUCCACAGGGCAUGGCGCCGGGGAAACCCCGGGGCGGGGAAACCUGCCGGAUCGGGCCACAGAAAUACACCACCGCGCAAGCGGCCAGGGUGAAAUGGUGAGGUAAGAGCUCACCGGCGCGGCAGCAAUGUCCGCGGCCAGGCAACCCCCGCCCGGAGCAAGGCCAAACAGAGGUGAGCAGCGGCCCGCUGCGCUCGAGCCUCGGGUAGGCUGCACAGAUAGAUGAUCAUCCAGGUCCGCUUUGCGGGCCGGACAAAAUGCGGCUUAUAGACCAGCCUGAAAG
RNAcentral lists this RNase P RNA (337 nucleotides) under Anaerolineales bacterium. RNAcentral's name for it is "RNase P RNA component class A". It matches the Rfam family "Bacterial RNase P class A". From Rfam's summary of the family: Ribonuclease P (RNase P) is a ubiquitous endoribonuclease, found in archaea, bacteria and eukarya as well as chloroplasts and mitochondria. Its best characterised activity is the generation of mature 5'-ends of tRNAs by cleaving the 5'-leader elements of precursor-tRNAs. Lineage: Bacteria; Bacillati; Chloroflexota; Anaerolineae; Anaerolineales. The record is from RNAcentral.